GUCUGCAGCCAUACAUGAAUUUAGGUAGUGAUCUUGUCAGAUCUUGCAAGUAAUGGGUCAGUCCUGGUUAGUAUUUGGGUGUAAGCCAUCUAUGGAAAACCCAUGGUGCUUUAGGUG
This 117-nucleotide ribosomal RNA is filed under the name Chelonoidis abingdonii (Abingdon island giant tortoise). Lineage: Eukaryota; Metazoa; Chordata; Testudines; Testudinidae. The record is from RNAcentral.